RNAcentral lists this ribosomal RNA (254 nucleotides) under uncultured bacterium. RNAcentral's name for it is "partial 16S ribosomal RNA". It matches the Rfam family "Bacterial small subunit ribosomal RNA", at positions 524 to 776 of the family's 1533-position model. The record is from RNAcentral.
UACGUAGGUGGCAAGCGUUGUCCGGAAUUAUUGGGCGUAAAGCGCGCGCAGGCGGUCCUUUAAGUCUGAUGUGAAAGCCCACGGCUCAACCGUGGAGGGUCAUUGGAAACUGGGGGACUUGAGUACAGAAGAGAAGAGUGGAAUUCCACGUGUAGCGGUGAAAUGCGUAGAGAUGUGGAGGAACACCAGUGGCGAAGGCGACUCUUUGGUCUGUAACUGGACGCUGAGGCGCGAAAGCGUGGGGAGCAAACAGG